This 247-nucleotide long non-coding RNA is filed under the name Musa acuminata (dwarf banana). RNAcentral's name for it is "long non-coding RNA (MACU_LNC004011)". The record is from RNAcentral. Lineage: Eukaryota; Viridiplantae; Streptophyta; Magnoliopsida; Zingiberales; Musaceae.
CGGGCGGCGGUGGAGAGGCAGCGGUGGUGGCGCGGCUGGGAGCAGCGUCACCAACGAUCGCCGAGGAGGAGAGGUCGAGCGGCUGCGCUGCGACGCAAGGAGAGGCGGGCGGCGACAGUAGGGCUAGGAUGGACGCUAGCAGCGUCGUCUCCUGGCCGGGGAACAGCGGCGGCGGUGGUCGCCGGCCGGGAAGCAGGGCGAUGGUGGGCGCUGGCCGGAGAGCAGUAGCGGCGGGUGGGCUGGCCGG